RNAcentral lists this long non-coding RNA (411 nucleotides) under Medicago truncatula (barrel medic). Its description in RNAcentral is "long non-coding RNA (MTRU_LNC002210)". The record is from RNAcentral. Lineage: Eukaryota; Viridiplantae; Streptophyta; Magnoliopsida; Fabales; Fabaceae.
UACAAUCCAUUAAAAUUCUUCAAAUCUAGAAUCGACUUACCCAAUUUAUCUUCAUCUUCCCAAACUGGAAAAAAAUCGUAGAAGAAAAUUUAUCAAACUUAGUUCUGACUCACUCAGUAACUCAGCUUCAUGUUCAAAACCAACCGUCGGAGCUGACGAACAAAAAGGUAACGACAACCUUGGUUUGGUUGUUGUUGAUUCUAUUGAACGUGCGAGGUUUAAAACAGAAAAGCUAAUUAAUCAUAGAGAGGAGGUUAAUUUGGGUAGUGUUGUUAUUAUUUCUCUCUGUGAUGUGCCAUUGUUGUUGUUUUGUUUGGAUUGUUUUUUGCUGAUGGAAAAAUUGGGCAGGAGAAGAGGAACAAAAUAGUGAUGGAAAAGAGGAAAUAUUGGUUUCUCGGUAGCUUAAACAAG